UCGGUGCUCCUACGUGGCGUUAUGUCACCCAAUCCCCCCAGGGCAGGAAUGCAGCAAGGGUAAGUGGCCUCUGACGGGUGCGUAGGAGUUUACUCUUUU
Non-coding RNA from Bifidobacterium psychraerophilum, 99 nucleotides. It matches the Rfam family "Bacterial small signal recognition particle RNA". Rfam says of the family: The signal recognition particle (SRP) is a universally conserved ribonucleoprotein involved in the co-translational targeting of proteins to membranes. NCBI's taxonomy places the organism in Bacteria, Bacillati, Actinomycetota, Actinomycetes, Bifidobacteriales, Bifidobacteriaceae. The record is from Rfam.